AAUCACGGCCGUUAUGGAUUUCGAUACGUUACCAAACGGUCUCCUACAAAGGCAGAAACCGUUUAAAUAUUUCAGAAGGAUUGAUUUUCAUUUUGCAAAUAUAAUACUGGUUCAUUUUCUUUCUCUUCCUCCAUCCAUUCUACUAUUGAACAUAAAACGUGUCAAUAGUAUUGUAGUUCAGCAUGUAUCUCAGGAUAUUAAAAGGGCAGUGUGACUCAGCUAGAAAAGGAUGAACUUUCCCCAAAGAUAAAGUGACCUAUGCGGUAAGUCCUACGGGACUUCAUAUCCUCAUUGGAGAGAGGUUUAGGGUGUUUCUAGUUGUAGCAGGGUUAGUUGCACCUUAGGUUGAAGCAAGAUUUUGCUACUGGAAAUUAAAUAUGGUAAAAGGAGGUGCUCUCGGCCGCCAAUUUGACAAGGGAUGGACCGUGCUGGUUUUGUAUCAACUGGCCUAAGCUAGAACUUCAUUUCCAUUAUGUCUCCAUAUCAGGUUUGGCCAAAAGAUAUAUCUAUGCCAGAUUUGGGAAGCAGAAGUGAAAGAGUAACCGUUACUCUGUGUAGCUGGUGCGGAAGGAGAGAAGUGUAGAUGUACUGCUUGUGGGCUCUAGCUUGUCCUCGCCUGCCUCUGUCUUGACUCCAGCUGGUGUCCUUUUCUGCCUGCCUUGCUGACCAACAGCAGCCCCAAACCCACAGUCAAUGCAGAGGCAACAGCCUUCCAUGCACUUCUUCGCCAGCUCCUGUUGUGGUCUCACUCUUGCAACUGGAUGUUCCCAGUUCUCUAUAUGUAACCUGUGACUUUUCCUUCACUUGACUACUUCAGGAGAGGUGAAUAGAGACUUUUCUCCAAUUCUCCACCUUCCAACGGUGGCCUUACUUCCCCGUCUCCUCCCACUAUUGUGCAAGGUCUAAUUUUUUAAUCCUUAGACUAUAAACUCUGUGGAGGUAGCCACCUGUUUAGUUUACAGCUAUAGUCCCAGCGCCUGGCACCCAGAAGACACUCAUUAAAUGUUUGAAGAAUUAUUAAAGCCCCCAAUAAUUGAUAGCCCUUAUUAUUUAUCCAGUACUUAGAUUCUCAAAUAUGAAACACGAACAACUUGGUUUCAUUAUCUGGCUUAAAAAGCUUAUCAGGGAAAAAGUUUUUAAAAAUAUAUUUUGGGCAGCAUUUGAGUCAUUUCCCGCACCCCCAAACCUAUGUCAGUCGAUAGGAAGUCUGAAA
This is a long non-coding RNA of Homo sapiens (human), 1213 nucleotides long. Ensembl annotates it as long intergenic non-protein coding RNA 865. Lineage: Eukaryota; Metazoa; Chordata; Mammalia; Primates; Hominidae. The record is from Ensembl.